AGUGUCAUUUCAUGCUGUGUCACUGCACCACUUAAAAUCUUCACCCGGAGACUAUGUCCCACACAUGGGGAAAUCAAUCACCGUCAUAUUUUAAGUGCUUGCUGUGUGACAGCCACGAUUACAAUGACUGUUACUCUACCUCUUAUUCUCACUGUAGUGUUCCCAGUGAAGCGGCGGAACCGGCACAGCCUAGUGGGGCCUCAGCAGCUAGGAGGACGGCCAGCCCCUGUCCGACGGAGCAACACGAUGCCCCCCAACCUUGGCAAUGCAGGGCUGCUGGGCCGAAUGCUGGAUGAGAAAACCCCUCCCUCACCCUCAGGUACGUUUCUAUCUCGUGGAAGGUUGGGGCAGCUGUGGGGUCCCUGUGACCCUCUUCUGAUCCCUACUCUUCCCCUCAAGGACAACCUGAGGAGCCGGGGAUGGUGCGCCUGGUGUGUGGACACCAUAACUGGAUCGCUGUGGCCUAUACCCAGUUUCUAGUCUGCUACAGGUUGAAGGAAGCCUCUGGCUGGCAGCUGGUGUUUUCCAGCCCCCGCCUGGACUGGCCCAUCGAACGACUGGCGCUCACAGCCCGGGUGCAUGGUGGGGCUUUGGGUGAACAUGACAAGAUGGUGGCAGCAGCCACCGGCAGCGAGAUCCUGCUAUGGGCUCUGCAGGCGGAAGGCGGUGGCUCCGAGAUAGGGGUCUUUCAUCUGGGGGUGCCUGUGGAGGCCUUGUUCUUCGUCGGGAACCAGCUCAUUGCUACAAGCCACACGGGGCGCAUCGGGGUGUGGAAUGCCGUCACCAAGCACUGGCAGGUCCAGGAGGUGCAGCCCAUCACCAGUUAUGACGCGGCAGGCUCCUUCCUCCUCCUGGGCUGCAACAACGGCUCCAUUUACUACGUGGAUGUGCAGAAGUUCCCCUUGCGCAUGAAAGACAACGACCUCCUUGUCAGCGAGCUCUAUCGGGACCCAGCGGAGGAUGGGGUCACCGCCCUCAGUGUCUACCUCACCCCCAAGACCAGUGACAGUGGGAACUGGAUCGAGAUCGCCUAUGGCACCAGCUCAGGGGGCGUGCGGGUCAUCGUGCAGCACCCGGAGACUGUGGGCUCGGGGCCUCAGCUCUUCCAGACCUUCACUGUGCACCGCAGCCCCGUCACCAAGAUCAUGCUGUCGGAGAAGCACCUCAUCUCAGUCUGUGCCGACAACAACCACGUGCGGACAUGGUCUGUGACUCGCUUCCGCGGCAUGAUUUCCACCCAGCCCGGCUCCACCCCACUCGCUUCCUUUAAGAUCCUGGCUCUGGAGUCGGCAGAUGGGCAUGGCGGCUGCAGUGCUGGCAAUGACAUUGGCCCCUACGGUGAGCGGGACGACCAGCAAGUGUUCAUCCAGAAGGUGGUGCCCAGCGCCAGCCAGCUCUUUGUGCGUCUCUCAUCUACUGGGCAGCGGGUGUGCUCCGUGCGCUCCGUGGACGGCUCACCCACGACGGCCUUCACAGUGCUGGAGUGCGAGGGCUCCCGGCGGCUCGGCUCUCGGCCCCGGCGCUACCUGCUCACCGGCCAGGCCAACGGCAGCUUGGCCAUGUGGGACCUAACCACCGCCAUGGACGGCCUCGGCCAGGCCCCUGCAGGUGGCCUGACGGAGCAAGAGCUGAUGGAACAGCUGGAACACUGCGAGCUGGCCCCGCCAGCUCCCUCAGCUCCCUCAUGGGGCUGUCUCCCCAGCCCCUCACCCCGCAUCUCCCUCACCAGCCUCCACUCAGCCUCCAGCAACACCUCCUUGUCUGGCCACCGUGGGAGCCCAAGCCCCCCGCAGGCUGAGGCCCGGCGCCGUGGUGGGGGCAGCUUUGUGGAACGCUGCCAGGAACUGGUGCGGAGUGGGCCAGACCUCCGACGGCCACCCACACCAGCCCCUUGGCCCUCCAGCGGUCUCGGCACUCCCCUCACACCUCCCAAGAUGAAGCUCAAUGAAACUUCCUUUUGAACAACGCAACUGCCAUGAUGCCUUGGGAUGCCCUGGUCCUGGGGGACUCAGGUGCCUCCCUGAUUCCUGUGGGAACCCCGGGUUCAGGGCCAGGGCCUCCUUGGAAUAAAUGGUUAUUGUUACUAGGUCCCCACCUUCCCUCUUUUCUGGAAGCCAAAGUCACCGUCCCCAAUAAAGUCCUCACUGCC
RNAcentral lists this small RNA (2149 nucleotides) under Pan troglodytes (chimpanzee). Its description in RNAcentral is "retained intron". The record is from RNAcentral. Lineage: Eukaryota; Metazoa; Chordata; Mammalia; Primates; Hominidae.